Molecule: transfer RNA, 57 nt
Filed under: Scirtothrips dorsalis
Lineage: Eukaryota; Metazoa; Arthropoda; Insecta; Thysanoptera; Thripidae
Description: tRNA-Val
Source: RNAcentral
GGAUUAAAAAAAAACAUUUCUUACAAAAUUGUAAAACUCAAAAAUGAGUAUAAUCCA